Molecule: transfer RNA, 70 nt
Filed under: Podarcis lilfordi (Lilford's wall lizard)
Lineage: Eukaryota; Metazoa; Chordata; Lepidosauria; Squamata; Lacertidae
Description: tRNA.Ile
Rfam family: tRNA (bases 4-62)
About the family: Transfer RNA (tRNA) molecules are approximately 80 nucleotides in length. Their secondary structure includes four short double-helical elements and three loops (D, anti-codon, and T loops).
Source: RNAcentral
GGAUAGCUCAGUUUGUUAGAGCGUGGUGCUAAUAACGCCAAGGUUACAGGUUCGAUCCCUGUCUGGAACA